Molecule: ribosomal RNA, 506 nt
Filed under: uncultured bacterium
Lineage: Bacteria
Description: partial 16S ribosomal RNA
Rfam family: Bacterial small subunit ribosomal RNA
Source: RNAcentral
AGUGAACGCUGGCGGUAGGCCUAACACAUGCAAGUCGAACGGCAGCACAGGAGAGCUUGCUCUCUGGGUGGCGAGUGGCGGACGGGUGAGGAAUACAUCGGAAUCUACUCUGUCGUGGGGGAUAACGUAGGGAAACUUACGCUAAUACCGCAUACGACCUACGGGUGAAAGCAGGGGACCUUCGGGCAUUGCGCGAUGGAAUGAGCCGAUGGCGGAUUAGCUAGUUGGCGGGGUAAAGGCCCACCAAGGCGACGAUCCGUAGCUGGUCUGAGAGGAUGAUCAGCCACACUGGAACGGAGACACGAUCCAGACGCCGACGGGAGGCAGCAGUGGGGAAUAUUGGACAAUGUGCGCUAGCCUGAUCCAGCCAUACCGCGUGGGUGAAGAAGGCCUUCAGGUUUUAAAGCCCUUUUGUUGUGAAAGAAAUCCAGCUGGCUAAUACCCGGUUGGGAUGGCGGUACCCAAAGAAUAAGCACCGGCUAACUUCGUUCCAGCCGCCGCCGUAA